AUCCAGAUGACGAGUCUCAAAUAGGACGAAACGCGUGUUUUAGAU
Non-coding RNA from Schistosoma mattheei, 45 nucleotides. The record is from Rfam. Lineage: Eukaryota; Metazoa; Platyhelminthes; Trematoda; Strigeidida; Schistosomatidae.